Long non-coding RNA from Pan troglodytes (chimpanzee), 2209 nucleotides. RefSeq lists it as uncharacterized. The transcript has 4 exons. Lineage: Eukaryota; Metazoa; Chordata; Mammalia; Primates; Hominidae. The record is from RefSeq and is a predicted model, not a curated record.
ACAUACUUCCUGUAGUUUGACUUGUUAUAGUUAUCUGGAGUCCGUCUCCCAUCUCAACCUACCCACCUCUUCCUGAAUAACCAUAAAUUCACACGGCUUAAAUAGGUUUGUAGAAAAAGAUACGUUCAUGUUAAAUAUGUGAGGUCAACGGGCAACAGAGGAAUAGCCAAUUCCAAGCCUGAUUUGAACGCAAAAAAAUUUCAAGACAGGAGCCAUUUUCCAUAUCAUAUUUUCUAAAUUUCCUGCCAGUACAGCUUCCUUCAUUUUUCAGAUACAACUUGCUCUUUCUGUGCUUGAUUUCAAGACUGAUUUGUCCUUGGAAUUCCUUGUGGAUUCUUGGCAUCUUGAAAUCAAUUGUCCAUGCCAGAUAGCAUAAGCAGAGGUCUAGAUGAGUAUAGGCACAUAUAAAGAGGCAACGGAGUUAAACCACGUCUGAGAUUCCAUAUUCCUUAUGGUUAUGUCCAGUGGACAGCCCAACUCCCUUUUAGAAUCUUGUUUCUUCUCAUACUCAUCACUUUUCUGCUAAAGUGUGUUUCUUUUCAUACUAAAACCUUCGCUUUUAUCCCCAAAUAGUUAUAUUUUCUUUAUAUUUCCACAUGCUCGUUUUUUCUUGAGGAAAAAAAUUACAAAAAUAAAAAGCCCAAGCGCUCAUCGCGCUAGAGAAGUGACCUUCAGUUUGAACGCGCUGAACCAACAGAAUGAGCUGCAGGAAGGCGGAAGCACUAGCGUGCUGGGCAUUCUGGGAACUGUAGUCGGAAGUAUUUUCACCCAGGCUGGUGGAGUCCUUGUCGUCGUUCCGCUUAAACAUUCUGGGAAGUGUGGGUCAGACGUUUCAUAUAGUCGACAACACUUCCUCUUCGGGAGUACAGGGUGUGGCCCUCUCGUGUGACUCCAGACUCUGGGAAGUGAGUCGCAGGAACUUCCGCUCCAGGGAAAGUUGCGGCCAUCAUGCUGCAUGUGAGACUUGAGCCCCAGCGACGCUUCUGCGCCUCCUCAGCCUGGGUGAACAGAGGAAUGACUUUGUCCCACACCUGUGAAGAUAAGCUAUCAAUUUACAUUACCAGGGUGAAAUUCAACAGAAAUGCUUUUGGAUAAAGAUGUUCAGGCCCACAGGGAAUUUCCUUGUCGACAAAUUGUGAAGGAGGAAGUUGAGUGAGGCCUGAGACAGCAAUGUUUCGUUUAGCCUGGCGGUGGCCCUCCUUGUCUUCAAGAAGAGCAUCCGUGGCUAGCAGUGGAAGAUGGGGUUGGGCCCCAGGUGAGUGACCCUUUGUCGAGUUUGCAGAAUUUGGUCUUGGCGGGUUGAGGAUCUCUUGUAUUUUGUGCGCUCUGUUCCUGCUCCAGGACUGACCAGGCAGUUCUGCCACCUUCUAGGGGUGUGAAAUUGGGAAGUAAUUCAAAAUGUAUGUGCCUAGCAUUCCUUUUAUGUAACAUGAGGGGAAUAGAAGUACCAAACCGAUGCAGUUCAGUGGAGAAUUAAAUGAGAUAGUCACAAGUAAAAGGUGGUAAGUGUGGUUCAUUUUAUUAAUUUUCUUUUAAUUUCCCGAGAAGCCCCAGUUACCUGAAAGCUUCUGUGAGCCUGGGAAGGGAUCAGAGUUCCACCUGCAGUGCUAUUUUGCCCCUUCUUUCUGAUCCUUACAGGAAGCAGGACAAUUCCUGGAUUCCCUUUUUAAAAAAGUGAGGGUGGGGGUGUGGGGAUGGGGGUGGGGGGUGGGGCGGGAAUCACUCCAGGCUACUGUAUGGGGAUGUCCUCUGUGAUUCGUGCAGGAGGGAGAUACAGUUCUGGUUUCUCGCAGAUGGUCACAGGAAUGAGGAAAGAAUGACUCUUUGGCUCCUAGCAGCAGAAUCUUAACUGAGUAUGACUUAGCAUCCUUCUUCUUUUUGUGUCAUCUCUCUUCUCAGGGCAGAAGAUAUUUACUAAUUAGCACAUUCUGCUAGCACAUCUGUGGGAAAAGAGAUGCGGUCUUACUGCGUUGACCAGGAUGGUCUCAAACUCCUGGCUACAGGCUAUCCUCCUGCCUCUGUCUCCCAAAGUGCUGGGAUUACAAGCGUGAGCCACCAGGCCUGGCCCAAUUGCUUCUUAACAACUUACUAUUCUUUGUUCACUACAGUGUAUACAUAACUGACUUUUUAUUUGGAGCUUCAUUUUGUAAUGAAGGCUCUGGUCACAUGUAAGACUUGUAUUAAAUAAAUUUGCCUGCUGUUCGGUUAA